CAGAAUACAUGAUGAUCUUUCCCCAACUUGAACUCUCUCACUGAUUACUUGAUGAUAAUCAAAGAUCUGAUGUUCUG
Molecule: small nucleolar RNA, 77 nt
Filed under: Vicugna pacos (alpaca)
Lineage: Eukaryota; Metazoa; Chordata; Mammalia; Artiodactyla; Camelidae
Description: Small nucleolar RNA SNORD81 (ENSVPAG00000015766.1)
Rfam family: Small nucleolar RNA SNORD81
About the family: U81 is a member of the C/D class of snoRNA which contain the C (UGAUGA) and D (CUGA) box motifs. U81 acts as a guanine methylation guide and is found in intron 11 of the gas5 gene in mammals.
Source: RNAcentral